RNAcentral lists this ribosomal RNA (395 nucleotides) under uncultured bacterium. RNAcentral's name for it is "bacterial SSU rRNA". It matches the Rfam family "Bacterial small subunit ribosomal RNA", at positions 30 to 429 of the family's 1533-position model. The record is from RNAcentral.
AUUGAACGCUGGCGGCAUGCCUUACACAUGCAAGUCGAACGGCAGCGGACCUUCGGGUGCCGGCGAGUGGCGAACGGGUGAGUAAAGUAUCGGAACGUACCUUUCAGUGGGGGAUAACUGUCCGAAAGGACAGCUAAUACCGCAUAUUCUGUGAGCAGGAAAGCAGGGGAUCGCAAGACCUUGCGCUGAUUGAGCGGCCGAUAUCAGAUUAGCUAGUUGGUGAGGUAAAGGCUCACCAAGGCGACGAUCUGUAACGGGUCUGAGAGGAUGAUCCGCCACACUGGAACUGAGACACGGUCCAGACUCCUACGGGAGGCAGCAGUGGGGAAUUUUGGACAAUGGGGGCAACCCUGAUCCAGCCAUGCCGCGUGAGUGAAGAAGGCCUCGGUUGUAAG